Molecule: ribosomal RNA, 583 nt
Filed under: Aureobasidium pullulans
Lineage: Eukaryota; Fungi; Ascomycota; Dothideomycetes; Dothideales; Saccotheciaceae
Description: eukaryotic LSU rRNA
Rfam family: 5.8S ribosomal RNA (bases 212-365)
Source: RNAcentral
UUCCGUAGGUGAACCUGCGGAAGGAUCAUUAAAGAGUAAGGGUGCUCAGCGCCCGACCUCCAACCCUUUGUUGUUAAAACUACCUUGUUGCUUUGGCGGGACCGCUCGGUCUCGAGCCGCUGGGGAUUCGUCCCAGGCGAGCGCCCGCCAGAGUUAAACCAAACUCUUGUUAUUAAACCGGUCGUCUGAGUUAAAAUUUUGAAUAAAUCAAAACUUUCAACAACGGAUCUCUUGGUUCUCGCAUCGAUGAAGAACGCAGCGAAAUGCGAUAAGUAAUGUGAAUUGCAGAAUUCAGUGAAUCAUCGAAUCUUUGAACGCACAUUGCGCCCCUUGGUAUUCCGAGGGGCAUGCCUGUUCGARCGUCAUUACACCACUCAAGCUAUGCUUGGUAUUGGGUGCCGUCCUUAGUUGGGCGCGCCUUAAAGACCUCGGCGAGGCCUCACCGGCUUUAGGCGUAGUAGAAUUUAUUCGAACGUCUGUCAAAGGAGAGGACUUCUGCCGACYGAACCUUUUAUUUUUCUAGGUUGACCUCGGAUCAGGUAGGGAUACCCGCUGAACUUAAGCAUAUCAAUAAGCGGAGGAA